Molecule: transfer RNA, 94 nt
Filed under: Ipomoea nil (Japanese morning glory)
Lineage: Eukaryota; Viridiplantae; Streptophyta; Magnoliopsida; Solanales; Convolvulaceae
Rfam family: tRNA
About the family: Transfer RNA (tRNA) molecules are approximately 80 nucleotides in length. Their secondary structure includes four short double-helical elements and three loops (D, anti-codon, and T loops). Further hydrogen bonds mediate the characteristic L-shaped molecular structure. tRNAs have two regions of fundamental functional importance: the anti-codon, which is responsible for specific mRNA codon recognition, and the 3' end, to which the tRNAs corresponding amino acid is attached (by aminoacyl-tRNA synthetases). tRNAs cope with the degeneracy of the genetic code in two manners: having more than one tRNA (with a specific anti-codon) for a particular amino acid; and 'wobble' base-pairing, i.e. permitting non-standard base-pairing at the 3rd anti-codon position.
Source: Rfam by way of RNAcentral
CUGACCUUAGCUCAGUGGUAGAGUGGUGGACUGUAGUUGGACUAAUCUAAAUUGGUAAAUCCUUAGGUCGCUGGUUUGAUUCCGGCAGGUUGGA